AUUGAACGCUGGCGGCAUGCUUUACACAUGCAAGUCGAACGGUAACAGGCCUUCGGGCGCUGACGAGUGGCGAACGGGUGAGUAACGCAUCGGAACGUGCCCAGUCGUGGGGGAUAACGCAGCGAAAGCUGUGCUAAUACCGCAUACGAUCUGCGGAUGAAAGCGGGGGACCUUAGGGCCUCGCGCGAUUGGAGCGGCCGAUGUCAGAUUAGCUAGUUGGUGGGGUAAAGGCCCACCAAGGCGACGAUCUGUAGCUGGUCUGAGAGGACGACCAGCCACACUGGAACUGAGACACGGUCCAGACCUCCUACGGGAGGCAGCAGUGGGGAAUUUUGGACAAUGGACGCAAGUCUGAUCCAGCCAUUCCGCGUGCAGGNUGAAGGCCUUC
RNAcentral lists this ribosomal RNA (388 nucleotides) under uncultured bacterium. RNAcentral's name for it is "bacterial SSU rRNA". It matches the Rfam family "Bacterial small subunit ribosomal RNA", at positions 30 to 419 of the family's 1533-position model. The record is from RNAcentral.